ACAAAAAUAAACCAAUUUCAAAUACUUUUCUCGAAAUAAAAGAAAAUAAAACGUUUACAAAUAACAAAAUCAAUUACAAAACAAAAAGAGGAGCUCUUGCAAUCUAUCUCACUUCUAAUCUUCUGUAACUCUUUUCUAUUCUUGUACACGUCCGCUAGUCUUCUAGAAACACGUGUCUUCGUACAAACCUGAACAACAUUCUAUAGGGGUGAGCUUACGCUCAGUAGGGUUUAACCUUUUUAGGUUGUACUUAAUUACGUCAAACAAACAAGUUAUCAAACAUCAAAUAAUACUUUAUAUAAAUAAUGAGAAUUCGAUGCAUGUAUGCUAAUGAAUGCCUUCCUCAAUUACUGGUUGUCAGUCCAUACAUCAAAGACAGGUGAGCCUACAUGUCCCAUACCGUGUAUUUUAUUAACCGGGUGUGACUCAAAUGUCUCGAAUAUAUGAUCUAAUAAUAAUCAGUAAUAUCUCACUGCCUGUACCUCUUUUGUUAGUCAUCUUGUUAUACUCAUGGUCUCCCGAUCCGUAACCCGAUAAAGAUUGUUUUAUCGAUGUCCGCCAUCGAAAAGGCAUACAUUCCCUGAAUUUGUGCACGUGUGGACUAAUCAUAGAUC
This 614-nucleotide long non-coding RNA is filed under the name Fragaria vesca (wild strawberry). RNAcentral describes it as "long non-coding RNA (FVES_LNC002484)". The record is from RNAcentral. Lineage: Eukaryota; Viridiplantae; Streptophyta; Magnoliopsida; Rosales; Rosaceae.